UGUGCGUCAUUUUCCGGGGCCGUGACGUCAUCUGCGCGCCCUGCUGUUUUCAUUGCUGGAGUGCAGUGUUGACUGUGUUGAUCGUAAAGACCGCUAAAGCUGCUUAUCCACUGGCUGUGCUGUCUACUGAGUGUGUACUCCUGGGAAGUCGAAUGCGGACAAUCGAGACAGUGUAAGCUCUAUCGGCGUUUCCUGCCAAUGAGUUUUGUCGGAGACAUUUGGCUCCAUCCACCGCAUAGUUUGGGAUAGUGAUCCUGGGACAGCAUGCUUUGCUGCAUGCGCUAAGGGCA
Molecule: long non-coding RNA, 290 nt
Organism: Xyrauchen texanus (razorback sucker)
Lineage: Eukaryota; Metazoa; Chordata; Actinopteri; Cypriniformes; Catostomidae
Exons: 3
Source: RefSeq, a predicted model, not a curated record